RNAcentral lists this ribosomal RNA (446 nucleotides) under uncultured bacterium. Its description in RNAcentral is "partial 16S ribosomal RNA". It matches the Rfam family "Bacterial small subunit ribosomal RNA", at positions 338 to 795 of the family's 1533-position model. The record is from RNAcentral.
CCUACGGGAGGCAGCAGUCGAGAAUCAUUCACAAUGGGGGAAACCCUGAUGGUGCGACGCCGCGUGGGGGAAUGAAGGUCUUCGGAUUGUAAACCCCUGUCAUGUGGGAGCAAAUUAAAAAGAUAGUACCACAAGAGGAAGAGACGGCUAACUCUGUGCCAGCAGCCGCGGUAAUACAGAGGUCUCAAGCGUUGUUCGGAAUCACUGGGCGGAAAGCGUGCGUAGGCUGUUUCGUAAGUCGUGUGUGAAAGGCGCGGGCUCAACCCGCGGACGGCACAUGAUACUGCGAGACUAGAGUAAUGGAGGGGGAACCGGAAUUCUCGGUGUAGCAGUGAAAUGCGUAGAUAUCGAGAGGAACACUCGUGGCGAAGGCGGGUUCCUGGACAUUAACUGACGCUGAGGCACGAAGGCCAGGGGAGCGAAAGGGAUUAGAUACCCGAGUAGUC